Molecule: unclassified non-coding RNA, 263 nt
Filed under: plant metagenome
Description: partial contains small subunit ribosomal RNA, internal transcribed spacer 1, and 5.8S ribosomal RNA
Source: RNAcentral
UUUCCGUAGGUGAACCUGCGGAAGGAUCAUUCUCAUAAAAUGGAUGUACGACGGUUUACGCUCAACCGCCACGUUGUGUACGCCCGAGUGAGGUCUUUUACACCCUUCUCCCCCCUCAGUACACUUCUGCGUCGGCCGCCCUUUGGCAUGUUCGGAGGGGGGUUUUCGCUUUACCAUAAAUCUUGUACACAUUUUUCUGAGAAUCUAUUGUUUAUUAGCUCUCACAAUCAAUACAACUUUCAACAACGGAUCUCUUGGCUCUC